RNAcentral lists this ribosomal RNA (492 nucleotides) under uncultured bacterium. Its description in RNAcentral is "partial 16S ribosomal RNA". It matches the Rfam family "Bacterial small subunit ribosomal RNA", at positions 29 to 507 of the family's 1533-position model. The record is from RNAcentral.
AGUGAACGCUGGCGGUAGGCCUAACACAUGCAAGUCGGACGGCAGCACAGUAUGAGCUUGCUCUUACGGGUGGCGAGUGGCGGACGGGUGAGGAAUACAUCGGAAUCUACUUUUUCGUGGGGGAUAACGUAGGGAAACUUACGCUAAUACCGCAUACGACCUACGGGUGAAAGCAGGGGAUCUUCGGACCUUGCGCGAUUGAAUGAGCCGAUGUCGAAUUAGCUAGUUGGCGGGGUAAAGGCCCACCAAGGCGACGAUCCGUAGCUGGUCUGAGAGGAUGAUCAGCCACACUGGAACUGAGACACGGUCCAGACUCCUACGGGAGGCAGCAGUGGGGAAUAUUGGGCAAUGGGCGCAAGCCUGAUCCAGCCAUACCGCGUGGGUGAAGAAGGCCUUCGGGUUGUAAAGCCCUUUUGUUGGGAAAGAAAAGCAGCAGGUUAAUACCCCGCUGUUCUGACGGUACCCAAAGAAUAAGCACCGGCUAACUUCGUG